AUUGAACGCUGGCGGUAUGCUUAACACAUGCAAGUCGAACGGUAACAGGCCUUCGGGCGCUGACGAGUGGCGGACGGUGAGUAACGCGUAGGAAUCUGCCUCAUAGUGGGGGACAACGUGGGGAAACUCACGCUAAUACCGCAUACGCCCUACGGGGAAAGCGGGGAGUCUUCGGACCUCGCGCUAUGAGAUGAGCCUGCGUUAGAUUAGCUAGUUGGUAGGGUAAAGGCCUACCAAGGCGACGAUCUAUAGCUGGUCUGAGAGGACGAUCAGCCACACUGGGACUGAGACACGGCCCAGACUCCUACGGGAGGCAGCAGUGGGGAAUAUUGGGACAAUGGGCGCAAGCCUGAUCCAGCAAUACCGCGUGUGUGAAGAAGGCCUUAGGGUUGUAAAGCACUUUCAAUUGGGAGGAAAACCUGCCGGUCAAUACCCGGUAGCUUGACAUUACCUUUAGAAGAAGCACCGGCUAACUCCGUGCCAGCAGCCGCGGUAA
This 496-nucleotide ribosomal RNA is filed under the name uncultured bacterium. RNAcentral describes it as "bacterial SSU rRNA". It matches the Rfam family "Bacterial small subunit ribosomal RNA", at positions 30 to 523 of the family's 1533-position model. The record is from RNAcentral.